CUCAGCAAGGAUUGUCGAUCCGGAACAAUCAUAGUGAGCUUUCACAAUCUAUCAAUGACACGUAGCAGUAUGUAGUGGCAACCCAAUAGAACUGAAAUAAACCUUUAGGUAUAGUUAACGUGUGAUUUAGUCCCUCUAUCGUGAGUCCCGACUAGAUGACAGGUCAUGAAUAAAUUGUCAAAUCUUAACAUUAGUCAUAUGAUAGAUUGAUUAGCUCAAGUCCAGUUGUGACUUCUAUGAAAACUCUUUUCCAUCAAUCACACUGAUUUGGCCAC
RNAcentral lists this long non-coding RNA (275 nucleotides) under Elaeis guineensis (African oil palm). Its description in RNAcentral is "long non-coding RNA (EGUI_LNC077208)". Lineage: Eukaryota; Viridiplantae; Streptophyta; Magnoliopsida; Arecales; Arecaceae. The record is from RNAcentral.